CUUCCGCCGGCGACCGGCGCACGGGUGAGUAACACGUAUGCAACCUGCCCCUGUCAGGGGGACAACCCGCCGAAAGGCGGGCUAAACCCGCGUACAUGCCACCGGGGCAUCCCGGAGGCAGGAAAGGCUUCGGCCGGACAGGGAUGGGCAUGCGGCGCAUUAGGCAGUAGGCGGAGUAACGGCCCACCUAACCGACGAUGCGUAGGGGUUCUGAGAGGAAGGUCCCCCACACUGGUACUGAGACACGGACCAGACUCCUACGGGAGGCAGCAG
RNAcentral lists this ribosomal RNA (273 nucleotides) under uncultured bacterium. RNAcentral's name for it is "partial 16S ribosomal RNA". It matches the Rfam family "Bacterial small subunit ribosomal RNA", at positions 82 to 354 of the family's 1533-position model. The record is from RNAcentral.